GACGAACGCUGGCGGCGUGCUUAACACAUGCAAGUCGAACGGUAAGGCUCCAGCUUGCUGGGGUACACGAGUGGCGAACGGGUGAGUAACACGUGGGUGACCUGCCCUGCACUUCGGGAUAAGCCUGGGAAACUGGGUCUAAUACCGGAUAGGACCGCACCGUGAGGGUGUGGUGGAAAGUUUUUUCGGUGUGGGAUGGGCCCGCGGCCUAUCAGCGUGUUGGUGGGGUAAUGGCCUACCAAGGCGGCGACGGGUAGCCGGCCUGAGAGGGUGGACGGCCACAUUGGGACUGAGACACGGCCCAGACUCCUACGGGAGGCAGCAGUGGGGAAUAUUGCACAAUGGGCGGAAGCCUGAUGCAGCGACGCCGCGUGGGGGAUGACGGCCUUCGGGUUGUAAACUCCUUUCACCAUCGACGAAGGGUUUCUGACGGUAGAUGGAGAAGAAGCACCGGCUAACUACGUG
Molecule: ribosomal RNA, 465 nt
Filed under: uncultured bacterium
Lineage: Bacteria
Description: partial 16S ribosomal RNA
Rfam family: Bacterial small subunit ribosomal RNA
Source: RNAcentral